This 494-nucleotide ribosomal RNA is filed under the name uncultured bacterium. Its description in RNAcentral is "partial 16S ribosomal RNA". It matches the Rfam family "Bacterial small subunit ribosomal RNA", at positions 28 to 507 of the family's 1533-position model. The record is from RNAcentral.
GACGAACGCUGGCGGCGUGCCUAAUACAUGCAAGUCGAACGGUUUAGUUCCACGAGGCUUGCCUUUUGGAACUAGACAGUGGCGGACGGGUGAGUAACACGUAGGCAACCUACCUGUCAAACCGGGAUAACCUCGGGAAACCGAAGCUAAACCCGGAUAAGCUCCUUUUUCGCAUGAAGGGGGAGUGAAAAGGUGCGACCUGAUGACAGAUGGGCCUGCGGCGCAUUAGCUAGUAGGUAGGGUAACGGCCUACCUAGGCGAUGAUGCGUAGCCGACCUGAGAGUGCGUACGGCCACACGGGGACUGGGAUACGGCCCAGACUCCUACGGGAGGCAGCAGUAGGGAAUCUUCGGCAAGGGGCGAAAGCCUGACCGAGCAACGCCGCGUGAGUGAGGAAGGCCUUCGGGUUGUAAAACUCUGUUGUUUGGGAAGAAGGGAAAGGGUAGGACCCUUUGGUGACGGUACCAAACGAGAAAGCCCCGGCUAACUACGUG